Molecule: ribosomal RNA, 491 nt
Filed under: uncultured bacterium
Lineage: Bacteria
Description: SSU rRNA
Rfam family: Bacterial small subunit ribosomal RNA
Source: RNAcentral
AGGACGAACGCUGGCGGCGCGCUUAACACAUGCAAGUCGAGCGAGAACCGGUCCUUCGGGACUGGGGAAAGCGGCGAACGGGUGAGUAACACGUGGGUAAUCAACCCUUGGUACCGGGAUAGCCCGAGGAAACUCGGAUUAAUACCGGAUGGCCCAACAGCUCUUCGGGGCGGUUGGAAAAGGUAGCUUCGGCCUCCGACCAAGGACGAGCCCGCGGCGGAUUAGCUUGUUGGUGAGGUAACUGCUCACCAAGGCGACGAUCCGUAGCUGGUCUGAGAGGACGAUCAGCCACACUGGGACUGAGACACGGCCCAGACUCCUACGGGAGGCAGCAGUGGGGAAUCUUGCACAAUGGACGAAAGUCUGAUGCAGCAACGCCGCGUGGGGGAUGAAGCUUCUCGGAGUGUAACCCCUUUCGACCCGGAAGAAUGCCCGCAAGGGUAUGACGGUACGGGUAUAAGAAGCCCGGCUAACUACGUGCCAGCAGCCGC